RNAcentral lists this ribosomal RNA (253 nucleotides) under uncultured bacterium. RNAcentral's name for it is "partial 16S ribosomal RNA". It matches the Rfam family "Bacterial small subunit ribosomal RNA", at positions 524 to 776 of the family's 1533-position model. The record is from RNAcentral.
UACGAAGGGGGCUAGCGUUGCUCGGAAUCACUGGGCGUAAAGCGCACGUAGGCGGAUUGUUAAGUCGGGGGUGAAAUCCUGGAGCUCAACCCCAGAACUGCCUUCGAUACUGGCGAUCUUGAGUCCGGGAGAGGUGAGUGGAACUCCGAGUGUAGAGGUGAAAUUCGUAGAUAUUCGGAAGAACACCAGUGGCGAAGGCGGCUCACUGGCCCGGUACUGACGCUGAGGUGCGAAAGCGUGGGGAGCAAACAGG